AGCGGCGGACGGGUGAGUAACGCGUGGGUAACCUGCCUUACACUCUUGGCCAGCCUUCUGAAAGGAAGAUUAAUCCAGGAUGGGAUCAUGAGUUCACAUGUCCGCAUGAUUAAAGGUAUUUUCCGGUAGACGAUGGGGAUGCGUUCCAUUAGAUAGUAGGCGGGGUAACGGCCCACCUAGUCAACGAUGGAUAGGGGUUCUGAGAGGAAGGUCCCCCACAUUGGAACUGAGACACGGUCCAA
This 242-nucleotide ribosomal RNA is filed under the name uncultured bacterium. RNAcentral's name for it is "partial 16S ribosomal RNA". It matches the Rfam family "Bacterial small subunit ribosomal RNA", at positions 94 to 334 of the family's 1533-position model. The record is from RNAcentral.